UGGCGGACGGGUGAGAAACGCGUUGGUGAUCUGCCUUGAAGUGUGGAAUAACGUUUCGAAAGGAACGCUAAUACCGCAUGUGCUCUCGAUUUUCAGAAAGUUGAGAGUAAAGGAUUUAUUCGCUUCAAGAGGAGCCUGCGUCCCAUCAGCUGGUUGGUAGGGUAACGGCCUACCAAGGCUAUGACGGGUAGGGGACCUGAGAGGGUGGCCCCCCACAAUGGAACUGAAACACGGUCCAUACACCUACGGGUGGCAGCAGUGGGGAAUAUUGGGCAAUGGGGGGAACCCUGACCCAGCGACGCCGCGUGGGUGAAGAAAUCCUUCGGGAUGUAAAGCCCUGUUGUAUGGGAAGAGCAGAAGACGGUACCAUACGAGGAAGCCCCGGCAAACUACGUGCCAGCAGCCGCGGUAAUA
This 414-nucleotide ribosomal RNA is filed under the name uncultured Synergistota bacterium. Its description in RNAcentral is "bacterial SSU rRNA". It matches the Rfam family "Bacterial small subunit ribosomal RNA", at positions 96 to 525 of the family's 1533-position model. Lineage: Bacteria; Thermotogati; Synergistota. The record is from RNAcentral.